GAUGAACGCUGGCGGCGUUUCUAAUACAUGCAAGUCGAGCGAACAGACGAGGCUCUUGCUCCUCUUCUGUUACCGGCGGAUGGCUGAGUAACACGUGGAUAACCUACCUCUAAGACUGGCCUAACUUCGUGAUACCGGUGCUAAUUCCGGAUAACAUCAUGCAUCGCAUCGCUCCACUGUGAAAGACCGCCUUCCUGUCACUUCUUGAUUGACCCGCGCCUCAUUAGCUAGUUGGUCAGAUAACGGCCUACCAAGGCUACGAUGCCUAGCCGAACUGAGAGGGUGAUCGGACGCACUAGAACGGAGACACGGUCCAGACUCCUACGGGAGGCAGCAGUAGGUGAUCUUGAGAAUAGAGCGAAAGCCUGAAGGAGGAAAGCCGCGAGAGUGAAGAAGGUGUACGGAUCUUGAAACUCUGUUAUUAGGGAAGAACAAAUGUGUAAGUAACUAUGGAAGAGUUGGCGGUACCGAAGCAGAAGGCAUACGCAAAAUACGUG
This 497-nucleotide ribosomal RNA is filed under the name uncultured bacterium. RNAcentral's name for it is "partial 16S ribosomal RNA". It matches the Rfam family "Bacterial small subunit ribosomal RNA", at positions 28 to 507 of the family's 1533-position model. The record is from RNAcentral.